Physeter macrocephalus (sperm whale) is the source of this 8980-nucleotide long non-coding RNA. RefSeq lists it as uncharacterized. The record is from RefSeq and is a predicted model, not a curated record. NCBI's taxonomy places the organism in Eukaryota, Metazoa, Chordata, Mammalia, Artiodactyla, Physeteridae. The transcript is spliced from 2 exons.
GCUGGUGACUGAAAAGUAUGCAGUAGAACCAGCAAGAGCAGUAUGUUGAUGGUUACUGUGUCCUUAUCAUACUAUCUUUUGAUUUCUCUCUUAGGUUUAUUUUCUUGAAAAGGCUCCAGGCUUCGGCUUGGAAAAUCCAACCGCCAAAAUUGAGCCCAGCAGCUGGAGCGGCAGUGAGAGCCCUGCCGAAAACAUGGAAAGGAUGAGUGACUCUGCAGAUAAGCCCAUUGACAAUGAUGCAGAAGGGGUCUGGAGCCCCGACAUUGAGCAGAGCUUUCAGGAAGCCUUGGCUAUCUAUCCACCAUGUGGGAGGAGGAAAAUCAUCUUAUCAGAUGAAGGCAAGAUGUAUGUUGGCCAUCCAAGGGACUGAAUCUCAACUGAAGAGGAGAGUCAGUAAAGGACCACUGAGAAAUCAUUCCCUGGAGUUUCUUCUUCUUCUUCUUCAUAUCAAAAGCUCUCGAGGACCAGAGAGGAACAGAGGUCGUUGCAGUGGCAUAUGCAGACACCAAACGUGGGGACUAAGUCUUCUGAACGCGCGCCCCAUCAAAAGGAAGUGCUGCUGCUUAGCUCCAGAUAACUGACUGGAGCUCUGUAGAAAUGGGGCCUCGUGCUGCCAGAUCUAGCAAGAUAGAUGUUUAUAUAUGAAAUGUACUCAUUUUUAAAAGCCAGCAUUUUUUUCUUUUUUAAACACAACCCUAUAUAGGCCAUAUAAAACAUGCCCAGGGACUUGAUCAGACCUUUGAACCACCAGUUUGCUGCAUUGUUGCCAAUUUGCAGUUGAAUGGCCAGACAAGGCACCGACCCCCAGGCUACUCUGACCAGUCUCCCUUUCCACAUGGGGACCCCUCACAGUACAUUCAAAUCUCCAAGAGCACCCAAGAGGAUGCGACCGGUUGACCAGAUGUCUGGGGGUGCCAAAGGUGGCAGCAAGCACCCAUCCACUAGUCUGGGGCUUGCACACUGGGUUUGGACCUUCCCUGCACCUGCUGUAAAGGCUUCCAGCUGCUGACCUGUACUUUCUGCCUGCUUACCUUUUGGGAAGCAGAUGGCAGGUGGUUGCAUAUACAUUCUGCUUGUCUAAUUGGGCACGUUAAGUUGACAGUUUGCACUGUGGCUGAGUCUAAAGAGAUGCAAACAAAUAACCUAAACUCAAAGAGAACUGGCUCAGCAGCCUACUGGAGGUUGUUAACUUAUCAUGGGAGUGAUUUAUUUCUAAAUAAUUUGAAAGCUUUUCCAUAAUAGGGUGUUGUACCUUUAAUACCGCACCUCCUCUAUCAGGAGCCGUAGGAGGCUGCAGCUCAAACUAGCACCCACUGCUGAGGAGAAAGCAGAUGGUGGUGCAGCUGCCACCAGCUGUGCCCCCCACCCUGCCCUACCCCUCUCCAAUUUGGAUGAUGUAAUGGAAACAAGGAAAAUUUUGCUUUCUGCAGCAUUAGAGUCUCUCUCUCUUGGCCAGUUGGUGUCGCACACACAGGAGAGAAAGAGAACGUAAACCUUCAGUAUUUGUUUUAUGUUCUCAUGUGAUCCUUUGUAGCCAAAGAAGCUUCUUCGUGUCUGGUGAAAUGGACUCAGGAUGAAACAUCUCAGCUGCUGUGGGUAGAAAGUUUCAGGGCCUUCGAUUUUCUGUGUGCUUCUAUCUUUCCUGGGCUACCCUUCCUCAGCCUGGCUAUUUGCUUUCAGGGUCUUGUUUUCAUACCUAAAAAUACAACUUUCCCAUUUUAAAGGCAGAGAAAAGCACUUUAAUCUUUGAUCCUUCUUUGAAGCUGAUUUUAUUAGGAGUAGUGAAGGUGGCUUCGGGCCAUUCUACCUUGUACCAACACCCAUUUGUUUACCCAGAAAUUGUUUUAAUCUAAAAUACUGGCCUAGUGUUGGACAUGCUGGUUGGGAAGAACUACUGCCUUUCAUUUCUCACUGGGAAUACUAGGAAAGGAGCUGUCCCUUUAGGAAGCAGGUUUUUGGGCUAGGAAUAAACAUAAUUCAAAGCCAGAGUUAUUCUUUUCAACUCCAGUUUUGUUUUGUUUUUUUCCAUUGAUUUUACUUUUUAGGUGGCAGCCAUGGUAGAUUGAACUAAUUUUUUUGUGAAAAUAAUUUGUGAAAGAACUCUUGUUGGUAACUGGGGGGUCAAAGGCAGCAGACUAGGAAGAAGAAUUGUGAGAAGCUUUGGAUUUGAGCCGUCUACCCACAGUGAACUUGAACAAUCCUACCCUUGGUCUGUGUCUGAGUUUUCUCCCCUGUACAAAAUGAGGAUAAAGUAGAUGAUAUCCGUGGUCCUUGGGGCGUGUAUAUAGUAUGAUGCUGGAUUUUGUGACUUGUACUUCAGUAAGAGUGAUCACUGUGUUGACAAAUGUGGCGCUGGUUGUGGAGCAUGUCUUUAAUACUGAAAGUAAUCAGAUUCUGAGUGCUUCCUGAGAGCGUAUGUUCUUUUUUCUUUUAAAAUUUUAUUUAUUUAUUUUUAGCUUCAUUGGGUCUUCGUUGCUGUGCACGGGCUUUCUCUCCAUUUGCGGUGAGUGGGGGCCACUCUUCCAUGCGGCGCGUGGGCUUCCCAUUGCAGUGGCCUCUCUCGUUGCAGAGCACGUGCUCUAGGUGCGCGUACUUCAGUAGCUGUGGCGUGCGGGCUCUAGAGCACAGGCUCAUCAGUUGAGGUGCACGGGCCUAGUUGCUCCGUGGCAUGUGGGAUCUUCCUGGACCAGGGCUCGAACCCGUGUCCCCUGCAUUGGCAGGCGGACUCUCAACCACUGCGCCACCAGGGAAGCCCGAGCGCGUGUGUUCUUGACGCAUGGAUUCUUUUUCCUGAAAUCCACGUUACAUUUAUUGACCGUGUUGGUGACCAACCUGAUUUAAAAUUGAGCAGUCAUUUUGAGCGAGUAGCAUUAGGAAUUACAACUGCAAGGUCAUGUGUCCUGGUUAGGGGUGCAAGAGAUGGAUUUGCUGCAGUGGCCCUGAAGCCUCUCCCAUGUCUAGGCCACUGCCUUGGGGAGAAAACAUCCCCUUCAACUCCCUCUCUUUGGCCAGCAUGGAGGAGCUUUGCUUCUACUGCUGCUUUCAAGGGAAACAUGGUGGUUAUCAGGGCUAUGGGAAAUGGAGACUGGAUCCCUUCAGAGAAGCUAGCCCAGGUGCCUGAGAGCUGCAUGGGACCUGCCUGUAACUUUGAGGGCGAGAGAAGGUUGAUUUGGGAGCCUCCACAGUGAGGCUCCAGCCACUCGGGAAUUGAGUCAUGUGAGCAGUAUGGGACCAGAGCUACUGUUCCUUGGCUUCUGGCCUGUUCCCCAUCUUACCACACGUGAAUCAGGACACAAACCAGACCAGGAGUCGAGGUUUCUGAAGGUCCUAAGAGCAUGCUUUUUCUCUCAAGCAUUUUGGAAAUGAAAACAUUGAAAGCAUUUUGGAUUCCAUGGAGUAAAAUCAAAAUAAUUUAAUGCCUUCUAGUGAAAUACCAAGUGUUUUUGACUUGAGGGGGUUAUUCCGGUAUUUCUGAGCAUCUGUAUAGUAUUGUGAUGUCACUAAUCCUGAGCCUUUGGAGAAGCAAGGUCAAGUGCAGUGCUGAUUUAUUUUGGUAAUGAAAUCUCCUCCGUGGUUGACAGUAGGGCAAAUGCAAUCUUAUAGAGGGGGAAAAUGGAAAGUUCUAUUUACGUUGAGGUUUGGGCCAUUAGAAAAGAUGGCUUAAUUUUCCCUAUGCUACCUGGGUCGUUGGAGAGGCUGAGCCUUUAUGUGGUUGGUCUCCACGUGGACAGAUUAUUUCUGCCUGCAGUACCCUAUGGGUAGGCAGUUGUUCUUAGAGAUUAUUAGAAGGAGGGUGAGACUUCUUUGACUGUUCUUGAGAGGUUGCAAGCUCACUCCCUCUCUUCUCUGUGUUUUCUUUUUCUUAUUUUUACAUAGCUGUGUGUCUCUUUCUCUGGUAGAUAGCUGUGGAGUAGAAAGCAGGAGGACAAGAUGGCAGAGAUGCUCUUGAUCAGCAGAGUUGUCUGGAAUUGAAUUUCACAGGAGCAGGUCACAGCUUAAAACAAGACAGAACAAAACAGUGAAUCAUGGGAAUGUCUGGAUGUGUUUUCUAUUGCACUUGAAAACCCUAGUCAGGCAGUGUGGUCAAAUAUCUCUCAUAAUCAAGUUAGGGACCGGAGCUAACAUUCACUGGCUGCUUGCCUCAGAGACACGCAGUGUAGCACCUUAAAUUUUGAACUUUGGAAUUGAUAUGAAGCCUGGCCCUACCUCUUCUAGACAUCAGACUCCGGGCAAGUUGCUUUUCCUCUCUGUGCCUCCAUUUCUUCAACUGCAAGAGAGAUUUAGAUAGAUCUUCCUUCACAGGAUUGUUAUAAGAAUUAAAUGAACUUGUUAUGGUUUGGGAUCCCCCUACCACGUUUGGACAGUGUCUGGCAUACAGUGAGAGUUAAUCAGUGUUUCUGAAGUGCUCUCUGCCAAUAGCUGGGUUAAGGCUUUACAUAAAACUUCCGUCUCUUGCUCACAACAGCAUUUUGAGGUGGGUAUUGUGAUUCCCACUUUAUAGAUGAGGAAGCUGAGUCUAAAAGGGAUAAAGUGGCUUGUGCAUGAUCAGUAUAAAUGGUAUAGCUGGGUGCUUUCAAAACCAGCUCUGUCUGACUCCCAAACCUGGACUCUUUCCACUGUGCUUUCAUUCCUUCCUUGCUGGAGGUCAUUAUAAGUGAAUUCAACAAGUCAGCAUUGAGAGUACCGCCUGUAUUCCAGCCCUGUACUAGGGGUUGUCAGGGAUACAGCAGUGAGCCAGCCAGACAGUCCCUGCCCUCAUGGAGCCAUCACAAGUUCAUUUGCAGGAAGCACUGACCUGAGGUUAGGGCUGUGUGCCAGAGCUUUCUGGGAAGUCUGAGACCCCUUUGAAGAUGUUCACCUUCCACUUAGCCUUUUGAAGCCUGUUCCUGGCCACCAGUGUCCAGGGCACCUGGCCCAAUGCUGGCAGGAAGAAAGCUUCUCAAAUAUCGCAGCGGGGAGGAUCCUAGAUCAUAAGGCUGGCCUUGGUGGUGGCCAGAAAGAUGUCUGGAAGAUUCUGGUGCCCUAGGAUCCUACAGGCAGCUUGGGCAGAGCAAUUGCUGGACAAUUGCUUUCUCCUUUUGUGAGCAGAUAUCUUCAGGGUCCUUGCUUAGGAGAGCUCCAGGGGUGCCCCCACUUUCUUGCUGGGUUGCCAGGCCUACUGGUCAGCCCUAGAGAGCUGAGUUGUGAGGCAUAGAAAAGAUGAGGGAGGAGGAAGGUAUCUCUGGGCCAGUCCUCCCUGGCUGGUCUUCCCCAGUUGCUGACCUGAGCCCUCCCAGCCAGGGGAGCACGGGAGUCGGACUUGCCUCUUGCUUACUUCAUGGAAGUACAAGAUAGCAGAGAGAAGGGGCUGCUUCAGUGAGGUGGUGGCAGAACUGACAAGGGGACAUCAGAAGGAGUGCACACAAGCAGGAACAGGUGUGCACCAGUUAAUCAGUGCAGGCAAAGAGGCUGACAUCUGAGGUCCCCAUGCUCCUCCUGAUCUGAAGAACUGGUCAAGGCAAUGCCGAGUCGUCCCUUUGUAAGACAGGGUACUUUCACAUCAUUUCUAUGGGGACCAGGAAGGUGGUCUACCUCUGUGGAGGCCCCAGAAGCCCUGAUGUGGAAAUGGCUGUAGAAUCUGAGCCCUGUAGGAUCUCCAGGCCUUGGGAGAGUGAGCCUUGGGGCCUGAGCUGAACUUGUUCUUCCCAGUUCUCUAUCUGAACAUCAUGUGGCAUCUUUGAUUUCCUCUUUCUGUCUUACCUGUGAUUUGGGAUAUUAUUUCAAGUGAAUUUGCUAGAAAUGUGAAGAGCAAAGCACUGCGCCCUUAGAACAGGCUAGAAGCUCCGUAAGGCAGGGGCCCCACCCUGUCUUGCUGGACAGAGAAGGUAUCAGUGAUGUAUGCUGAAUAUAUGCAUGUGUGAGUUAUUAUUUAAAAUAAAGAAAGGUGAGUAGGUAAACCUCUGAGCCCCGAGAGGAGCUGGCUAGAAAGGAAGGGAGAAAACAGAAACAAAAAAAAAGAGAGAAGGGCUUCCCUGGUGGCGCAGUGGUUGCACGUCCGCCUGCCGAUGCAGGGGAACCGGGUUCGCGCCCCGGUCUGGGAGGAUCCCACAUGCCGCGGAGCGGCUGGGCCCGUGAGCCAUGGCCGCUGAGCCUGCGCGUCCGGAACCUGUGCUCCGCAACGGGAGAGGCCACAACAGAGGGAGGCCCGCAUACCACCAAAAAAAAAAAAAAAAAGAGAGAGAGAGAGAGAGAGAGAAAGGUGUGUUGGUAUAUUUAACGGUCUUCCUAGACUGAGAAGGAAGAAAUACUGGUUUUUACUCUGUGUGCUGGCAAAUGUUAGUUCAAGAGGUAGGAAGGAUUUCUACCCACAUAGGCACAGCAGCAGAGCAAGGGUUAAUUCUGGGAUCCUCAGAACACAUGAGUAACGGGGGAUUUUGAAAUAGUUUGGUUCCUGUGAGAAUAGCAAAGCCAACGUCAUCAGUGUUUGGACUGGGAAGUUUAACAUGGUGGGGGUCUGACCUACAAAGGUUUAUGCAUAAGGUGUGAGCCCUUGUGCAAGCCAGGUUAAAAAAUAGCUGGUUAGGAUGGCUCAAGAAUUGGUUAUAAGGGAGAAAAAAAAAAUAAGAGAGAGAAUGUUAAAUUACUACCAGGUUGGAAACUGAGGCUUUUCAGCAGCUUUCCGUGGCAGCGGAUGAGCACUGGGAUAUCCGGGAAGAUGCGGAUUCGCGGGGCGCUCAGUGAGGGCCUGUGCUGUGCUUCCGCCGUGAGCGGGGACUACAGAUAUAAACUAAUUAAGAAAGCUGACCUGUUUGACCACUUACUGUGUGCUAGGCGCUUUCUCGUUGCUUUAGAAUGCGUUGUCCUGUUUAUUCCUCGGAACAACCCAAUGAUGUAGGUUACUGUGACGAUCCCUGUUUUAUAGCUGAGGAAGCUGAGGCCCACCAAGGUCAAGUUACUUGCUCAAGGCCACAGUAGAUAAGUCAUAGAGUUGACAUUUUAAAGUCAGCUUUAUACAACAAGCCAGUUAAGACCACUAACUACAAUAUUGACAUGGAAGGAUGUAUAUUCUGUACUAGAGAUAUAUACGGCUCAGUGGUAGGGCAGUAGAAAGUAUGAUUGUUUAUGAUUGGGGAAUGCACUUGUCUAUAUUUGAAAAUGCAAAAGGCUGGAAGAGUCAGAGUCUGAGAGGCAGACUUAGGUGAACUAACUUUCAAUGGGGAAAGGCCACUUAGUGGUUUUUGUUGUUUUUAAUUAAAAAGUUUUUUUUUGGCUUUUAAACUUACUUUGGAUUACAGACCCCCUUUGAGAAUCUAUAGAAAGUUGUGGAUCUCUUCUCCAAAAAAAAUGCAUGCUUGUGCACAGUUAUAGAAUUGUUGCAUAUAACUCCAAGGGAUUUCUGAAGCCUAGGUUCACAUUUGCUACUGUGGGGAGAGAGAGAAGGGGAAGGGCAUUCAGGCCUAAGGGAGCAGCAUGAUAAAGGCACAGAGUCCUGCAAGGACCCAGCUCUGGUGCUUUUAGAAUUGAGGAUGUGUCCUGGAGGGGGAUGGCAGAUGAACCUAGAAAUGUGGGAUGGCACUGCAUUGUGGAGGGCCUCAAGUACCAUGCCAUGGUGUCCGGUGCUCAUCCUGGGGGCAGAGAGAAGCCACUGCAUGUUUUCAGGAGAGGUGAUGUGCCUCAGCCUGGGUUUGACAAAGCCAACUCUGAAGGCGUGAAGAGAAGUUAGAUGACUAUUGCAGGAGGCCAGUGGGAGAGGCUGAGCCUAAACUACCGUACUGACAGUGCUGGCAGAGCAGUUUCAGAGGUCGAACCAACAGGAUUGGCUGACCAGAUGCGAUUUGUGAAAGAGAAGAUAGAGUUGAAGGUGAUUCCAGGGUUCUGCUUCUGGGUGAUGGAGAGGACGAUGGGCCUAUCAAAUGGAUGGGGAGUGGAGACAAGAGAAGCAGUUUGUAGAGAGGAGAGGAAUGAGGAGUUGAAUUUUGUUAUGUGCCGGAGGUGUACUGGGUGGCCAUCCAGAUGAGGAUGAUCUGUGGUGUUUGGAAAUUCCUGCUUGGAGCUCAGGCAGGUUGGAGUUGCAGGGGUAGUUUGGGGGCUCAUCAGCAGAGAAGGGAUGAGGAUGGGGGAUAUGCGCAGGCUCACGUGUAUUGCGGUGAAAUGGGCAUGGAUUUUAAAUGGAGUGUCUGUAUUUGUGGGAGAGUAAAACGAUUGCCUUUUUAAGAAAAAGGGAGACCCAUCAGUGGUUCCCAAGUCUGACCAUCAUCAGCAGAAGCACUUGAGAAGCUUUAAAAAAGAGACAUAACAAGAACGGACUCAAACCAGUUGAAUCAGAAUCUCUGAGAGUGUGGUUUGGGAAUUUGUGUUUUUAAAAGCUCCCUGAGUAAUUUGGGUGAUCAGCCAGGUUUGAGAGCCACUGGGCUAAGCUACAGCCUGGGUCCAAGAGGACAGGGCCACAUUUUUAGAGUUGGUAAAAGAAACAAAUGAGGAAGGAGGGAAUGAGACUGACAUUUGAAACAGUCCUUACAAAGUUUGGGUACAGGAAAUGAGCUACAUUAUUCAGUUUAUGCUCCCUGUGUACGGAGAGGGAACAUUACCAUGGCCCAGAUUUGCCAUGUGUAGGAAGAGCCAUGAGGUAGUAUCUUAAGGGGCAUAAAAAGUUAAAGGAAGACUUAUUUUAGGACAGGGGAGAGACUUGGCCAUUUGGUUAGUAGGGGAGAAAAUACAUGUAAUUGAGGAUAUAUAUGAUGGAAUAGAACCAGGAAGAGACUUUAAAAGGAGUAGGGCUUCUUUUACUCUGAUGCAUAAUGGCAGGAGAAGGGUCCAGUUAGAGGGCCCAGGGAGGGCGUAGUGAUUCCUUUCUUCAGAUGAGAAGUAAAGCUAUGUGAGCUGAGGUGGCUUAUGGGCUUUUGAAAAGUAGAGCAAGCUUAGUAGAGAUACUGUGGGGGAAUGGGAUAUGGACGGACAGGGGUGAGUAAAAGAAUUGCUGAGCAGUGGAAGGAGGGCCUGA